AUGGCUAUUGCACAAAACAAACAUGUCUUACUAGUGAUUCUUUUUCUCCUAUGUUUCAUCUCUAUCCAAGCUAGAGCAAGAAUACUGAAGGAAAAAAGCAAUGAUGUAGUGAGUAUUUCUCAUAAUAAAGAAGCACAAGAUCAUGUGUUUAAGGCUAAAGAAGAACAUAAUAAUGGAGAUGAA
Non-coding RNA from Vicia faba (fava bean), 183 nucleotides. Lineage: Eukaryota; Viridiplantae; Streptophyta; Magnoliopsida; Fabales; Fabaceae. The record is from the annotation of a GenBank genome assembly.